RNAcentral lists this ribosomal RNA (427 nucleotides) under uncultured bacterium. Its description in RNAcentral is "bacterial SSU rRNA". It matches the Rfam family "Bacterial small subunit ribosomal RNA", at positions 957 to 1385 of the family's 1533-position model. The record is from RNAcentral.
UUACGCGAAGACCUUACCUACCCUUGACAUCGAGAGAACUUUCCAGAGAUGGAUUGGUGCCUUCGGGAACUCUCAGACAGGUGCUGCAUGGCUGUCGUCAGCUCGUGUUGUGAAAUGUUGGGUUAAGUCCCGUAACGAGCGCAACCCUUGUCCCUAUUUGCCAGCGAUUCGGUCGGGAACUCUAGGGAGACUGCCGGUGACAAACCGGAGGAAGGUGGGGACGACGUCAAGUCAUCAUGGCCCUUACGGGUAGGGCUACACACGUGCUACAAUGGCCGGUACAAUGGGUUGCGAAUCCGCGAGGUGGAGCUAAUCCCAUAAAGCCGGUCUCAGUCCGGACCGGAGUCUGCAACUCGACUCCGUGAAGUCGGAAUCGCUAGUAAUCGUGAAUCAGAAUGUCACGGUGAAUACGUUCCCGGGUCUUGUA